ACAAUAAUAAUCAAGUGCGAAUAAAAUUGGUAGGGUCUGAGACAAUAUAUAAACAUAUUAAAACGUACAUGACACAUAUCACUGUGGACAUUGUCUAUGGCCUUAUUACAACCAGCAAGAGAAUUACAUAAGCGCGUGAGAGCGCGCGCGCACACACACACGUACACACAUGCAUGACAUACAUGGAUUGACUAGAGGUCGCCCCAUAUAGUCAACAAUUUAUUGGAGGUAAACAUUAGCAUAACUUGGCCAUAGAUUGAAGCAAUCCAACACAUGCCGAUGAAUGGCAUCCAUGUUGGUAGUAAUGCAAGCAUAUUAUUUUAGUACAGUCCUUCCAUCUUCGGAGCCACUCCCAUUUCAUCCAUCUUAGCAACCACUGUGAAAUUAAGAUAUCGAACUCCCAUUAGCUCAUGAGUCAAUUUUGCAAGGGCAGGAGAGUAUAAGGGGUCUUUGUGUAGGAAGUAAUAUGCUUGAAGUUGUGAGAUGGGACAUGAAGUCAACGAAGUACAUUAAUGAAAAUCCGUGGAAGGUCACAAAUAUGUAUUAGUCCACCAUACGACACAGAUCUUGUAUUUACAAAUAUCAAAGGCAUUGAUUAAAGUGAGUUUAGUGCAUUUACCAGAAUCUUCAAGAAGACACGGGAAACAACAAGUGUUCUUGCAGGCAAAGUCAGAGCCACCCGCAAAAAUACAACUAGAACAACAUGCUUUUGCGGCGAAGCUUAUGCAGCAGCCGCAAUCUGCGGUGGUCGAGUUGACGGCGAGGCUCAGGAUGAGCAGGCACAUGAUCACCUUCAGAGUGGUAGUGCUAAUGAGCAUCCUCUUACCCUCCAUUUUCUCUUGUUGAUGUUUCCUGCCUUGGUUAACUAGCUAAGUUUCUUGGUUUUGUGUUGAGAGGUGCUUCUUAAAUGGAUGUUGCUCGCUGCAAUUUAUAGGCAAUUGCAUUACGUUAUGGUAUGUAUAAGGUGCGAGUGGGUGGAAAAUCAUGUAGUAUUCAAUGUGACAGUAUCGACAAUUGAUGACUUUGGUUGGUAAACCGGACAAAUUCAUUCACACGUAUCUUGCGGAGGAAAUGCUGCAUCACCUACCAUAUUCAAUAUUAGGGAGAAAGCCUGAACCACGCCAAUAAUUUGCAACGAGGCACAAAAAGCUACCCCAAGUAGUGGAGUUCGUAUGAUAUUAGCAAGCUAUAAGCGAUAACCAUGGAGGCAAUUAACACUAGCCCGUCAAAGAUGGUGCUAGCCACUUAUGGUGUUGAAUGCAACUUUUUGCAAAUAUGUAUGGACUUUGGUUAGUAAAAUUUCAACAGGCGCUACAUAUAUAUUUUGCUACACAAAAUUGAUUGGAAGCAAUAGAGUAGGCUAGUUCUUAGGUAGACCUUUAGCAAUGUUCAUCUUGGCCAUGGUGUCAGAGAUCAGAUUAUAAGUAUGACGUACAUGCAACUUGAUCCCUUGUCCUCAUAUUUUAAUUCCCGCAUUCACAAGUUGCACGUACUAAGCACUCCCAAUUAUUACCAUUUUCAUUAUGCAACUCUUUCUAUUUUUUAUUUAUUUUUUAAUAUACAAAUGUCAUUUAACAAACAAUCUAUUUUAUUCAGCUAGCGGAACUCGGGCAAAACCGUUUUUUAUCUAAGUCUACAAAACCUAGUAUAUUGUUUGGGCAUACAUUUUACAUUUCUAAGAUAGAACCCCAAGAUAUUAGGCACUGUGUCAGUUGUAUCAAACUUAUUUCUAUAUGACAUCGAAAUGUUAGAGAUAUUGAUAUGAUGCAAUGCACCGGGAUUAUCCUUAAAAAUGAAAAACAAUUAAAAGGAGGAAAACUUGUGCAAAGAGUCCUUACGUGAUAUGGUCCUCAUCAAAAUUACCAAAUUUGGAAUAUGGUGCUUUGAAAAAAAGAGUGUUCUCAAAAAGAGGUAUCAUGCCUGGCUUAUCUUGGCUUUCAACCCAAAUGGCCAUAUCCAUUGCAAACAUUGUUUUUCGUUUUCCCAUAUUCGGCACACACAUGCAUCUUGGAACACAAAUCCAACCAACAACCAAUGAUAGUUUCAAUCCUUAGAGGUGCGGGCGAGGACAAUUAAAAACUUGUGAAAUAGGUGUACCCGAAGAAUAAUUCCCUAUUCGAAUAUAUAGAUUGGGUCACUCUGUCUCAAAAUCACAACAAAAAAAUGUUUUGUUGAACAUCCUCUGUUAGAUAAGACAACAAGAUGAUGGUAGUUUUGGGUCCUUCACAAAACAAGAAACUAACCAAGAGAUUAGGAUGACUGAUCUAUCCCGCGUAUGUCUUGCAAAUCAGUUGUUGAUAACAUUGCCAUUAGGUGUUUGAUCGCAUUCACAUUCAACAUCUUUGGGUAUUUUACUAUCAUUGAUGUUGACACAUAUGGUUGUUUCCAAGAAAAAUUUAACAAAAUCCGAAUGAUUGAGAUAACCAUCUGCAAUGACUAAGAAAACCCUCUGCAAUAUUCAAUAGCUUAAAGUAUUUUGCAACUUAUCUCUACAAAAAAGGAGUAUUAAUCAACUUGCUGCUCUACAAAACAUGAUACUACCUCAUCCAUAUCUAGACAAAUCUCAAAAAAGUACUAUUGAUCGGAGGGAGUACAAAGGCUACUGGUAUACUUUCACAUGAAAUACUUUCUUCUUGCAAAAGAUAUAAAUGGUGCUAAUAUUAUACAUUUAAGUUUUAUAGAGGCCCGGUGUGUUCGUUAUGCUUGUAUCACUUGAUGUGACAUUCUCAUGAAAUAAAAAGUGACAUUUAUCCAAAAAAGACCUCCAGUCUUGUGUAAACUCCAAUCUUUAUGGAAAACCAUGCUUGCAGAAUGAACCAAUCGGCUAAUGCCAGUCUUGUGUAAUAUAUGUAGAUCAUCUCACAACUUUUGCAUUAGAUCAUGGUUACUUCAUAACAUGAUGAGAAGAAAUUCAAACCCAUGAAAAGCUUAUGCAAAUACGAUAACCUUGUAAAUUGCAUGAAAUAGAACCAACAAUUGAAAAUAUUAUAAUUAGGUGUUCGUUCACAUUCAUAUUCAACAGCUCUGGAUAUUCAUUAUUGUUUCAUGUUUUUUAAGAGAUCUUAAUGAUUCAAAUUGCAUUACGUUAUGAUAUGUAUAAGGUGCGAGUGGGUGGAAAAUCAUGUAGUAUUCAAUGUGACAGUAUCGACAAUUGAUGACUUUGGUUGGUAAACCGGACAAAUUCAUUCACACGUAUCUUGCGGAGGAAAUGCUGCAUCACCUACCAUAUUCAAUAUUAGGGAGAAAGCCUGAACCACGCCAAUAAUGUGCAACGAGGCACAAAAAGCUACCCCAAGUAGUGGAGUUCGUAUGAUAUUAGCAAGCUAUAAGCGAUAACCAUGGAGGCAAUUAACACUAGCCCGUCAAAGAUGGUGCUAGCCACUUAUGGUGUUGAAUGCAACUUUUUGCAAAUAUGUAUGGACUUUGGUUAGUAAAAUUUCAAUAGGCGCUACAUAUAUAUUUUGCUAUACAGAAUUGAUUGGAAGCAAUAGAGUAGGCUAGUUCCUAGGUAGACCUUUAGCAAUGUUCAUCUUGGCCAUGGUGUCAGAGAUCAGAUUAUAAGUAUGACGUACAUGCAACUUGAUCCCUUGUCCUCAUAUUUUAAUUCCCGCAUUCACAAGUUGCACGUACUAAGCACUCCCAAUUAUUACCAUUUUCAUUAUGCGACUCUUUCUAUUAUUUAUUUAUUUUUUAAUAUAUAAAUGUCAUUUAACAAACAAUCUAUUUUAUUCAGCUAGCGGAACUCGGGCAAAACCAUUUUUUAUCUAAGUCUAGAAAACCUAGUAUAUUGUUUGGGCAUACAUUUUACAUUUCUAAGAUAGAACCCCAAGAUAUUAGGCACUGUGUCAGUUGUAUCAAACUUAUUUCUAUAUGACAUCGAAAUGUUAGAGAUAUUGAUAUGAUGCAAUGCACCGGGAUUAUCCUUAAAAAUGAAAAACAAUUAAAAGGAGGAAAACUUGUGCAAAGAGUCCUUACGUGAUAUGGUCCUCAUCAAAAUUACCAAAUUUGGAAUAUGGUGCUUUGAAAAAAAGAGUGUUCUCAAAAAGAGGUAUCAUGCCUGGCUUAUCUUGGCUUUCAACCCAAAUGGCCAUAUCCAUUGCAAACAUUGUUUUUCGCUUUCCCAUAUUCGGCACACAUGCAUCUUGGAACACAAAUCCAACCAACAACCAAUGAUAUUUUCAAUUCUUAGAGGUGCGGGCGAGGACAAUUAAAAACUUGUGAAAUAGGUGUACCCGAAGAUUAAUUCGCUAUUCGAAUAUAUAGAUUGGGUCACUCUGUCUCAAAAUCACAACAAAAAAAUGUUUUGUUGAACAUCCUCUGUUAGAUAAGACAACAAGAUGAUGGUAGUUUUGGGUCCUUCACAAAACAAGAAACUAACCAAGAGAUUAGGAUGACUGAUCUAUCCCGCGUAUGUCUUGCAAAUCAGUUGUUGAUAACAUUGCCAUUAGGUGUUUGAUCGCAUUCACAUUCAACAUCUUUGGGUAUUUUACUAUCAUUGAUGUUGACACAUAUGGUUGUUUCCAAGAAAAAUUUAACAAAAUCCGAAUGAUUGAGAUAACCAUCUGCAAUGACUAAGAAAACCCUCUGCAAUAUUCAAUAGCUUAAAGUACUUUGCAACUUAUCUCUACAAAAAAGGAGUAUUAAUCAACUUGCUGCUCUACAAAACAUGAUUCUACGUCAUCCAUAUCUAGACAAAUCUCAAAAAAGUACUAUCGAUCGGAGGGAGUACAAAGGCUACUAGUAUACUUUCACAUGAAAUACUUUCUUCUUGCAAAAGAUAUAAAUGGUGCUAAUAUUAUACAUUUAAGUUUUAUAGAGGCCCGCUGUGUUCGUUAUGCUUGUAUCACUUGAUGUGACAUUCUCAUGAAAUAAAAAGUGACAUUUAUCCAAAAAAGACCUCCAGUCUUGUGUAAACUCCAGUCUUUAUGGAAAACCAUGCCUGCAGAAUGAACCAAUCGGCUAAUGCCAGUCUUGUGUAAUAUAUGUAGAUCAUCUCACAACUUUUGCAUUAGAUCAUGGUUACUUCAUAACAUGAUGAGAAGAAAUUCAAACCCAUGAAAAGCUUAUGCAAAUACGAUAACCUUGUAAAUUGCAUGAAAUAGAACCAACAAUUGAAAACAUUAUAAUUAGGUGUUCGUUCACAUUCAUAUUCAACAGCUCUGGAUAUUCAUUCUUGUUUCAUGUUUUUUAAGAGAUCUUAAUGAUUCAGAUUGCCCUCUGCAUCAAGGGAGAGGAUGCUUAAAGUAAUUUUUUUUCAAAUGUUCUAUUAAAGAAACUAGUAUUGCUCAACCUGCUGCUAUAGAAAAUAGAAAUAAAGGCGCAUAUGCUCCUUGGGUGCCCCAGAUUUUAGCCUAUGUAUCCAUAUGUAGGGUAAUAUCAGUGACAAUGUUUUCGAUGGUGUCAAGGAGAGGAUCAUCUACAACUUAGAACAUCUUGUUCAUGGAACCCCAUAUUAUCCAUACUACAUGUAGUAGAAUUAAGCAUGGGAUAAAUAUAGCCUGAGGGCAUUGCUGUUGAGGAGAGAUCACAAAUUUGGAUGGAGAGUGCGUGCCAUAUCCUUCAAGCAGCAGGACAGGUGAAGAAGAGGUUAUGUUCAUCGUGGGCAGAUGGAGCUGUUGAGGAUUCUUUGUUUUUUGUAGAUUGCAUCUUGUGUUUAGUCUGUCCAGGUAGAAGAGCCAGGCGAAGAUCUGUACUCUCUUUCAAGGUGCGGUCGUGUGGAUCCGAAUGCUGCGGGAGAUAGGGUAGCAUAUGCCCCCUCUUGAUGAAAGCUGACCCAUUAAGCAGCCCUCGCUCAUCAGGAUCCUGCAACAGAGAGUUUAACGAGCGAAGCUCUGGCGAGGCAGUUGAGGUUAGUCGGUUACGCAAGGCAAGUUCGACCUGCAUGAUGGCAUCUUGGUGGGAUGGGUGAGAGAAAAUGGUAGGGCAAACAGUGGCUAAUGGUACAGGUUUGAUCAACCUGUCAAGCCAGAACAAACAAUAUCAAAUAGAGCACUGAGAAAUGGUUCAGGUUUCCCAAAAAGAAUCUUUAGUUUGUUAGAUAAUAUUAUUGCAUAAUUGUUUCGUAGAGUAUCAUAUAUGGACUCUUGGUCCGAUAUGAUCUUCCUUGUGAAUGUAGGUACUUCAAAACAUGAGGAAACAAUAUCUCGUUUAGUCCUAGCCAUAAAAUUAAGAUUUGAUGGUUAUUUUGCAGCACUUGUCAAGGAUUAACAUGGAGGCUCGUAUGGUGCCUCCAAUUAAUAAAUAUAUGAUUUUGACAUGGGCUUCUUAUAUAUUUUGCUAUAAAAAUUGAUUGGAAUAAAUACGUCCGCCUAGUUCGCUAGGAUAGGCCUUUAGCAUGGUUUAUCAUCUCCAUUGUGUUGAAGAUUAGACGAUAAGUAUGAAGUAAAUGCAACUUGAUCCCAAGUCUUCAUAUUCCAAUCCCCAAAUUUACAACUUGCUUGUACUAUGCACAUCCUAUUAGUAACUUUUUUUGCUAGGCACACUUUUUAUAAUUUAUUAGGUGUUCCAUCACCUUCACAUUCAACUGCGGGUAUUCUGUUCUCGCAGAUGACUGGCUCUUUCAUAAAGAAUGUUUAAGGAAGUCUUAAUGACUGGGAAAGCCCUCCAGAUAGAAUGGUUGAAGUACUCUUGAACUGCACUGUAUGUAUUGCUUCUAGCUUUGGAUGAGCUUAAUAUCAUUUACGAGUAUUAAUCUAGUUCAUAUGGAAGUUUGUAUCCAAGCUAGUUGUGUACGUAUAUUAGGAGUCCAAGUGUUUGGCCGAGCUUAGCACUAGUCCGACUAGGAUAAGUAUGAUGGUUGAUCAUGUACACGUGGUUUUUUGAGUUUGGGUUCCAAGGUGUGUCCUAAUGCUAGUAGUAAUAGGAAGUACGAGGUACGAGUAGGAUUAGUUGGUCUAUAGGUUGGCCACAUUGUGUGUGUGUGUGUGUGUGUACAUACUAGCAAAAUAGAUUGUGCGUUGCAACGAGAGAGAAAAUAACACACACUCUUAACCUAGUAACCAUGAAUCAAGAUUCUAAUAGGUCCACGCCCUUUAUUUUCAAAUGGAAUCACAUUUUUGUUGCCGACGGUGGUCUCAGUGCUCAGAAAACAAAAUCGCGUUUGAAUGUGGUCAGUCCUAGGCCUCUCUCUCUCUCUCUCUCUCUCUCUCUCUCUCUCUCUCUCUCUCUCUCUCUCUCUCUCACGCGCGGGCACACGCACUCACUCGGAAUAGUAUGAGAAAUAUGUUGUUUUCAGCGGUGUGCAUGCAUGGUUAUCGAUGUUUUCUUUCCUCUCAAUCUGGUUUUAAUGGGUGUUUAUUUGAAAUUCGAAUCGCCGCCAGUACCAAAGAAAAAGGACCAUGCACAAUAAACUAAGUUUGCACCAAAAAUAAUAUUUAAGAAAUAUUUAACAGCUAAAAAUAACAUAAUGUUUAGAUUCUACACAUUUUUUAAUCAAAUUUCAUAUAUAACAUGUUAAAAUUAGAGUUACGGUUUAAAAAUAUGAAUAAUUUUGUCUUAGAUAAACUAUGGAUUGAUUAACCGAAAAGUCAGAGGGUUUUCUGUUAAAACAACAAAAAGAUCCAGCUGACUUAAAUAUGGAUGACGGGUUGAUUACCUGAAAUGUCAGGGUUUUAUUGAGAAAUUCAAAAACACGGUUUGGCUAUGACUUAAACGUGUACUGCGGGUUAAUUUACACAAAACACAGGGAUUUUUUUUAAAUGGCAUGACGUUGAGCAGUCACAAGCACUCUGUGCUUUAUUAUUAGGUGUAGAUAUAGACGCGAGGAUAUAUCAAGAUUGUACCGUGAAGAAAAGGAGAAAAGAAUAAAGAAGAGGAAGAAAGAGUACGACAAGGCCCCUUGGAUACAAGGUUUGUGUGUGUUUGUGUGUGCGUGUGNNNNNNNNNNNNNNNNNNNNNNNNNNNNNNNNNNNNNNNNNNNNNNNNNNNNNNNNNNNNNNNNNNNNNNNNNNNNNNNNNNNNNNNNNNNNNNNNNNNNNNNNNNNNNNNNNNNNNNNNNNNNNNNNNNNNNNNNNNNNNNNNNNNNNNNNNNNNNNNNNNNNNNNNNNNNNNNNNNNNNNNNNNNNNNNNNNNNNNNNNNNNNNNNNNNNNNNNNNNNNNNNNNNNNNNNNNNNNNNNNNNNNNNNNNNNNNNNNNNNNNNNNNNNNNNNNNNNNNNNNNNNNNNNNNNNNNNNNNNNNNNNNNNNNNNNNNNNNNNNNNNNNNNNNNNNNNNNNNNNNNNNNNNNNNNNNNNNNNNNNNNNNNNNNNNNNNNNNNNNNNNNNNNNNNNNNNNNNNNNNNNNNNNNNNNNNNNNNNNNNNNNNNNNNNNNNNNGUGUGUGUGUUCAUCAUGUUAUAGGUGGUGAAACACACUAAUGAGCAAGGUAAAACUCACAUCGAUCAAGGUCAGUGGCAUUUGUUCAAGUUUGUAAGGUGACUGUAGGACGCCUAGUUACGUCUGUGAACAAAAAGAGUCAGUACCGGCAAGGUCAGUGGCCAUAGUAGUAGCAGUUGUAGGAUCAACAUGUAGGAGUAUCAAGGUAGACACGAAGAAUGGAUAACUAUCCCAGUUGCACCUACAAACUGAUCCAGAAUUGUUUCCAAGUUUUUUGCAGCAAGUGGAGUAGCCUUGACAGCGACCAAGGUGGCAUUGACAUAUUAUGGUGUCGGUCAUAGGAGAUCUGGUUAUAGUGGUUGAGAAUAAAAUAUUCCGUUUGCCUUUGAUUAAUUAUGCGUUGUCUGUAAUUUGGUAUUCAUGAAAGUCACUAUCACGAUUAAUUGACCAUGUUCUAGAUCUCUACAUCAAAUUUAUUCCUGUUAACCUCAAUGUUAUAGCUACAUCGAGAUACUUAUUUUUCAUAUGCGAGUAAUUGGUUGAGCUCUCCCAGCAGGACGAAGCAGCAAAGGGAGCAAAAUGUAUACCAAACUGUGGAUGAAUGCCACAAUGGGGUAACUCGGAAAGUUUAACUCAUGCUCUAUGUCUUGCCCAAGGACAACAUACUCCGCGUGCAACUUUUUGUGUAUAUACCAGACGAUGCGCCAUAAACUAAUUUUUGUUACAAAUGGUAACAUAUUAGUAUCAAGAUGACACAAAUUUCCAUUACAAAUAUACAAUAAACCAUUGUAGACCUCAUCGGUGUGAAAAAUUAAUUGGACGAACUAAAGUUUUGCAAUGAGAUGCUGAUGGUAGGCAUCAACAUGGACUUGGAGCUCGACUUGGAGUUGUCGUACUACUAGUAACUUUCUAGAUCACAUGGAAAACUAUGAAUCCAAACAAGAUAACAGAUACAGUGAUGUAUUAUAUAUGAGCACAGAGAGAGAAAAAAAUAGAAACUUUAAACAUGGCUUCCAACGGGUUCUUCUGGUGUGUUAAGAGCCUUUAGAAGAUGAAACUGGGCUAGCUAUGGCCCUAGCCAUAAAGAACAUGGAAUUAGUGAUAUUACAACCGUGAAGGCUAACACGAAUAAGUUUCUAAGCGCCCCAACUGUGAUCAACACCACGAUCAAAAGUAUCCGCAACCGAAGAUGUAGUUAAAUCUAUCGAUGAUGCUGUCAAAUACCUCAUCUCGCUGAUUGGGAACCGGAGUCACCAUAUACGCCAACAUGAAAACCAGGUCAGCUAUGCAUAUAGAGAAUCUCACCCAGAUAGACUGAAAAAACCGUUGGUCAAUGAGGCUCUCUUUUCUCAGCUGUAUUAUCUCUUUGCGGUGCCUAUUUUAGCGAACUCUUUUUCCAGCUCAAUAAGGUUGUGUUUUCACAACUUUGCUGCAUGUACACCGUAUACUGUCCCCCGAACACCAAGCCUUCCAAUCCCAAGAACAAAAGGAAAGAGAUAGCAGCCCAAAAAUAGACCAAGUUAUCUUUCCAGCAUUGUCUUUCCUACCAGGAUUCGAAAUCCUUCUUGGCAAGACGAGCUGAAUUAUCUCCCAUAGUCCGAAACUCACAAGAACAUCAAAAAUCCGACGUGAAUGAAUUCAAUAAAGAACAGGUAUAGAUAAAAAAAAAUAAUCAAGUACGAAUAAAAUUGGUAGGGUCUCAGACAAUAUAUUCACAUAUGAGAACGUACAUGACACAUAUCACUGUGGACAUUGUCUAUGGCCUUAUUACAAGCAACAAGAGAAAUUACAUAGGCGUGUGAGUGCGCGUGCGCGCGCACACACACGUGCACACAUGCAUGACAUACAUGGAUUGACUAGAGGUCGCCCCAUAUAGUCAACAAUUUAUUGGAGGUAAACAUUAGCAUAACUUGGCCAUAGAUCGAAGCAAUCCAACAUAUGCCGAUGAAUGGCAUCCAUGUUGGUAGCAAUGCAAGCAUAUCGUUUUAGUACAGUCCUUCCAUCUUCGAAGCCACUCCCAUUUCAUCCAUCUUAGCAACCACUGUGAAAUCAAGAUAUCGAACUCCCAUUAGCGCAUGAGUUAAUUUUGCCAGGGCAGGAGAGUAUAAGAGGUCUUUGUGUAGGAAGUAACAUGCUUGAAGUUGUGAGAUGGGACAUGAAGUCAACGAAGUACAUUAAUGAAAAUCGGUGGAAGGUCACAGAUAUGUAUUAGUCCACCAUACGACACAGAUCUUGUAUUUACAAAUAUCAAAGGCAUUGAUUAAAGUGAGUUUAGUGCAUUUACCAGAAUCUUCAAGAAUACAGGGGAAACAACAAGUGUUCUUGCAGGCAAAGUCAGAGCCACCCGCAAAAAUACAAGUAGAACAACAUCCUUUUGCGGCUAAGCUUAUGCAGCAGCCGCAGUCUGCGGUGGUCGAGUUUACGGUGAGGCUCAGGAUGAGCAGGCACAUGAUCACCUUCAAAGUGGUAGUGCUAGUGAGCAUCCUCUUACCCUCCCAUUUCUCUUGUUGAUGUUGCCUGCCUUGGUUACCUAGCUAAGUUUCUUGGUUUUGUGUUGAGAGGUGCUUCUUAAAUGGAUGUUGCUUGCUGCAAUUUAUAGGCAAUUGCAUUACGUUAUGAUAUGUAUAAGGUGCGAGUGGGUGGAAAAUCAUGUCGUAUUCAAUGUGACAGUAUCGACAAUUGAUGACAUUGGUUGGUAACCCGGACAAAUUCAUUCACACGUAUCUUGCGGAGGAAAUGUUGCAUCACCUACCAUAUUCAAUAUUAGGGAGAAAGCCUGAACUACACCAAUAGUGUGCAACGAGGCACAAAAAGCUACCACAAGUAGUGGAGUUCGUAUGAUAUUAGCAAGCUAUAAACAAUAACCAUGGAGGCAAUUAACACUAGCCCGUCAAAGAUGGUGCUAGCAACUUAUGGUGUUCAAUGCAACACCAGAGCAAAUAUGUAUGGACUUUGGUUAGUAAAAUUUCAACAGGCGCUACAUAUAUAUUUUUCUAUACAAAAUUGAUUGGAAGCAAUAGAGUAGGCUAGUUCCUAGGUAGACCUUUAGCAAUGUUCAUUUUGGCCAUGGUGUCGGAGAUCAGAUUAUAAGUAUGACGUACAUGCAACUUGAUCCCUUGUCCUCAUAUUUUAAUUCCCGCAUUCACAAGUUGCACGUACUAAGCACUCCCAAUUAUUACCCUUUUCAUUAUGCAACUACUUUUAGAAUUUAUUUAUUUUUAAUAUACAAAUGUCAUUUAACAAACAAUCUAUUUUAUUCAGCUAGCGGAGGUCGGGCAAAACCGUUUUUUAUCCAAGUCUAGAAAACCUUGUAUAUUGUUCGGGCAUACAUUUUGCAUUUCUAAGAUAGAACCCCAAGAUAUUAGGCAUUGUGUCAGUUGUAUCAAACUUAUUUCUAUAUGACAUCAAAAUGUUAGAGAUAUUGAUAUGAUGCAAUGCACCGGGAUUAUCCUUAAAAACGAAAAACAAUUAAAAGGAGGAAAACUUGUGCAAAUAGUCCUUACGUGAUAUGGUCCUCAUCAAAAUUACCAAAUUUGGAAUAUGGUGCUUCGAAAAAAGAGUGUUCUCAAAAAGAGGUAUCAUGCCUGGCUUAUCUUGGCUUUCAACCCAAAUGGACAAGGCGAUGGCCAUAUCCAUGGCAAACAUUGUUUUUCGUUUUCCCAUAUUCAGCACACACAUGCAUCUUGGAACACAAAUCCAACCAACAACCAAUGAUCGUUUCAUUUCUUAGAGGUGCGGGCGAGGACAAUUAAAAACUUGUGAAACAGGUGUACCCGAGGCUUAAUUCACUAUUCGAGUAUACAGAUUGGGUCACUCUGUGUCGAAAUCACAACAAGAAAAUGUUUGGUUGAACAUCCUCUGUUAGAUAAGACUACAAGAUGAUGGUACUUUUGGGUCCUUCACAAAACAAGAAACUAACCAAGAGAUUAGGAUGACUGAUCUGUCCCAUGUAUGUCCUGCAAAUUAGUUGUUGAUAACGUUGCCAUUAUUUAGGAAAAGGCUCCUCACCUGAAUAUAUAUAUGCCACAAACCUUUAUUUAGGAAAAGGCUCCUCACCUGAAUAUAUUUCAAAUGUUUGACAGUUUUACAGGAUCACGCAUAUGCGCGCUCCUUGGGUGCCCCAGAUUUUAGCCUAUGUAUCCAUAUGUAAGGUAAGAUCAGUGCCAAUGUUUUCGAUGGUGUCAAGGGGAGGAUCAUCUACAAGUUAGAACAUCUUGUUCAUGGCACCCCAUAUUAUCCAUACUACAUGUAGAAGAAUUAAGCAUGGGAUAAAUAUAGCCAGAGGGCAUUGCGGUUGAGAAGAGAUCACCAAUUUGGAUGGAGAGUGCGUGCCAUAUCCUUCAAGCAGCAUGACAGGUGAAGAAGAGGUGAUGUCUAUCAUGGGCAGAUGGAGCUGGUGAGGAUUCUUUAUUUUUUGUAGAUUGCAUCUUGUGUUCACUCUGUCCAGGUAGAAGAGCCAGACGAAGAUCUGUAAUCUCUUUCAAGGUGCGGUCCUAUGGAUCCGAAAGCUGGGGUGAUAGGGCAGCAUAUGCCCCCUCUUGAUGAAAGCUGACCCAUUAAGCAACCCUCGCUCGUCAGGAUCCUACAACAGAGAGUUUAAUGAGCCAAGCUCUGGCGAGGCAGUUGAGGUUAGUCGGUUACGCAAGGAAAGUUCGACCUGCAUGAUGGCAUCUUUGGUGGGAUCGGUGAGAGAAAAUGGUAGGGAAAACAUUGGCUAAUGGUUCAGGGUUGAUCCACUUGUCAAGCCAAAACAAACAAUCUCAAACAGUGGCUAAUGGUUCAGGUCUCCCAAAAAGAAUCUUUAGUUUGUUAGAUAAUAUUAUUUGCAUGGUUGUUUCCUAGUGUAUCAUAUAUGGACUCUUGGGCCGAUAGGAUCUUCUUUGUAAACGUAUGUACUUCAAAACAUGAGGAAACCAUAUCUCGUUUAGUCCUAGCCGUAAAAUUAAGAUCUGAUGGUUAUUUAUCAGCACUUGUCAAGGAUUAACGUGGAGGCUCGUAUGGUGCCUCCAAUUAAUAAAUAUAUGAUUUUGACAUGGGCUUCUUAUAUAUUUCGCUAUAAAAAUUGAUUGGAACAAAUACGUACGCCUAGUUCGCUAGGAUAGGCCUUUAGCAAGGUUUAUCAUCUCCACUGUGUUGAAGAUUAGAUGAUAAGUAUGAACUAAAUGCAACUUGAUCCCAAGUCUUCAUAUUCCAAUCCCCAAAUUUACAACUUGCUCGUACUAUGCACAUCCUAUUAGUAACUUUUUUUGCUAGGAACACUUUUUAUAAUUUAUUUGUUUGUGAAUACACAAAUGUCAUUUUAACAGACUAUCUAUUUUUAUUCAGCUAGCAGAGGUUGGGCACAAUCAAUUUUUAUCCAAGACUAAAAAACCAUGUACAUUUUCGGGGGGCAUACAUCUUGUGUUUCUAAGAGACAACACUAAGAUAUUAUGCAUUGUGCCUCUUGUAUCAAACUUGUUUUUGUAUGUCAUAGAAAUAAUAGAGAUAGUGAUAUGAUUCACUGCACAUGGAUUAUCCUAAAAUAGAGAAACAAUUUAAAAACGGGAAACUUGCACAAAGAGUCCUUUUACGUGAUAUGGUUUCCAUAAAAAAUACCAAAAUUGAAAUAUGAUGCUUUGAAAAAAAAGGUGUUCUCGGAAAGAGGUAUCUUGUAUGCUUAUCUUGGCUUUCAACCCAAAAUACCAAGGCGAUAGUCAUAUCCAUGGGAAACAUGGUGGUAUUUUGCCCAUAUUCGGCACACAUGUGCAUCUUGGCAUGGCUUUACAAUGACACCUUAUUCACGUUGAUAAGAGCCUGUAUGCAAUAGCUACGGCUCUCCUAAAACAUUGUCGACCGAUGAAAUCUCUGGACCAAAAGUUGGGCAGAAAACGCCAGACCAGUGAAUGGGGUGCCAAAACAUGGAAAAGGGCGGGGAAUUGCCAAAAUUCUACCGUUGGUUGUAGCCUCACUGAAACCGACAUGUAAUUUGACCGUCGAAUAUUCAGACAACCUGGAACCCUAGCAUGCUACCAGGGCACCGACAUAAUGCAUGUAUUCUGUGCAUGCGAUACUGGCGCCCCCGCGACCAGAGGAAGGAAUAAACACCUAGACGGUACGCUAGUGCCUAAAUUUGGGCGGGAGAACACCAGAGUGGUGAGUUGGCCACCAAAAGAUGAAAAAGGGCUAGUCUUUGGCAGGUAUAAACAAGGGGGGAGGGGGGCUGGUAUUUCGGGUGCCAGAUCUUGUGAAGGUAAACAAGGAGAGAGACAUAAGAUGGAUACAAGCUGCUCCUCUGCCUUUGUUUGACUUGACUCAGCUGAAACAUAAUGUCGUUUCCAAAGAAACUUCAAUUACUGUUGAGAAGAGACAAAACCAAAUACUGCCAUUACACAAUAUAUAUCCGUCGUAAGAUAUUGAUUAAGCUAACCAAGCUGGACAUUGCCUACAGUACACCUAGAUAACUUAAUUUAUGCUAGCGACCGUGACGGCGAUCACCAAUUGAUUGUAUUUAGUGACUAAUAACCUGCCAUUGGUAUAUUUCAAAUUUUAUAUAUCAUUUGAUCCUCACCAUCGUCGGACAUGAUCGAGUCACAGAGAUAGGUACAAGUAGUUGUUCUGAGAAUAAGAAGAAAAAAUCGAUGCACUGACAAUCUCCAAUGUGUGUCCAUCUCAACCAUUUUAAAUUAAUUAGUACAAGUCCAAAUUAUCUGCUCUCCGGUAGAAACUAAAUUAGUCACGUUUGUUACGCUAGAGUUUGGUGCCAACGAACAAACCUAGCAAAUCAAUUGCACGUGGUCUCCUUAAACUACAAACAACGACAAUGAUGGAGGAGCCACUAAAUAGAAGGCCGGGCAGCGAUAGAAUGUACUUACUCAAUGGUUGCUAAUUUUUGUUGGUAAAUUGCGAGCGUUCUCCAGGGACGAACUCAAGAAGCAGUUUUUCUUGAUGAACGGACAAUAAGCUCCACCAUGCAAAAAUAUAAGGUUUCAGUUUGAGGAUCCAGCAAUAGUUCAUCAUGGAGCCUGAUGCACCAAGGUCAUAAUGCUGGUCUGGUGUGCAAAAUCCAAAGUAUGCAUCAGUUCUGCUCUCACACAUUGCGGAUCGUUCGAAUAUGCCAUCCAGAUCUUGUCUGUCCUGGAUAUACUUUUUGCUCGGAAUUAUAAAACUGUUCCUUUAUAAACUACUUACAGAAGCAUGAUUGUGGCUGUUGAACAUUUACUUUCCUUGAGUCGAAAAGACGCGCUAAUUUAGGGAAGCAGCAUGUGGGCACUGGAUAUCAUGUGCAUGCAUGUUCUUAACCCCCAAGCCACUCAGAUUAUUUGGCCCCAGAGCAAACCGCUUGGUUUGACCAGAAAAAAGACCUUCUACCCUUAUCCAUAGCAUAUGAAUGGAGAAGCAGAGCAUGAGCAGUGGGCAAACUAUCUAUCCUCUGAGAUGGACCAAGGAUAGAUAGUCGUUAGUGGCUCUAUAAAGAGGCCGGAUUCUGUCACACACAUAAGGGCUAAUUUGGCAGCAAGGUAAACGAAACCAGGGUAGCAAACCUUCGGGAGAUUAUACGCUAUUACUCACCUUCGGGAGAUUAUACGUUUCAAUCACUAUAUAUAUGACGUGCAAAAUGCAGCACACAUCCAUCACCAUCAGUUGAACUCGUGUCACACAAACUCCAUAGUCCAUACUUCUCUAGGUGUCAUCUCACUAUGCUGGAUACCUCUCCAAGUCUAUAUGUGAUGGACGGACGAACCAAGGCUCACUGGGCUUAAACACCUCCGGAAUGACAACCUCUACUACAACUCAACUCUGGAUUUUCGUACCUGUGCGUUUCACCAAACCAGUUGAUUAUAACCCCACUCUGCUCUUCUCUUCUCCAUGUAGAGUAGACCAGAGUAGGGACAACGAACACAUCAAUUACCAUCACAUACUAAAGUAUAUUCUAACAGCUGCUACAACUGAAUCAAUUAAUCAUGCCAAACACCCGUGCAUACCCACUCACUGCCAUUAUGUCCCGAAAUUGUCCAGCCUAGAACACACAAAUAAAAUAGAAUAGUCUCUAGUCUCCAUGCACUUUCACUGUUUGAUUGAUCACAAAAACUUACCUCAACAGUAAGAAAAUACACAAAUUUUGUUUUUCUCUGAUAUAUGAGAUCACAGAUUUUAGCCUUUUGGUGGUUCUAUUGACAUCAAUUGCAUGUACUAUAUUCACGGAUGCAAUUUUCUAACAAACCUUGCUAGCUAAUCUCCCUCGCACCUGCUCACAUCAAGAUUUAAACUGGAUGAGAUAAUGUAUAUGACUAUGUGUGACAUCAAGUUUAAGCGUUUAUGGUUCACGUUUUACAUCAAGUAUAUCGUAGUGUAGAGUAGCAAACUUAAUUCUCGAAAUCACCCAUACCAACGAAUGAAUGAAGAACCAAAGAGAUAAUUACAUCAGAGCUAGUCACUCCAUAGGCAAUAUCAGCAUAUUGUUAAUUGUUAAUGUGUAUAUCGAUCAAGUUUGUUUCUUUUCAAGUAAUCUAACACAUUCACCAAGGGAUUAAAUUGUAACUGAAUAGUACCAUUAGAAGUACAAAUAAGUUAACUAUUUGACAUUUGAUUUUCCACUAUUACUAAUUUUAUUUUUUAUUUUUUAUAUUCAAAUCUUCCGAGGUUUGUGUACAUUUUGUGUUGUUUAAGCCUGUCGGUCGACUGUAGAGUAGCCGCGCACCUCGUUCUUAUCCAUCUAAUCACAUGCACUAUGGUCUUCGCGUGGCAUUAAUUAAUUCCAUUGAUCAGUGAUAUAUUAUGUAGCUUGCUAGUUAAUAAUUAAUUAAUUAGCAGUUGAUGCAACUGCUCCAUUAUUAACAAUAAAAAGGCAUCCUCGUUUAGCUCGCAGGUCUUGUAUGAAUGCAUAAUCAUUUGCAUAAUAAUUAGGUAAGGCCGCUAGUUGGUGAGAAAUGCAUUGUACUUUCCUUGAGAUUAUCUGUCGACACCAAGCUGGUCAAUGGCGUGCAAUUUGAGAGCACUACCCUAUUCUCUGGGUUGUUAUAAAAAAAUUAAGGCAAAGGGACUGUGUACCCGUUGUAUCGAAUUGACAUGUACCUAGGAUAAAACUAAAUUAAUUUAUUCAUAAUCUAGUACAACAAAGGUGAAAUAAUUUAAAAAUCACUCCCUAAAAAAAGUAUAAGAAUGUGGCAAUCGCUCCCUAAAAACGGAAUGUAACAAUCACUCGUGGAAGGGGAAACGGCAAGACACCGCAAUGUCACUCGAACACUUUGACGUGUAGUACUGGGUAUGGGAAGAUUAUGUUGGGAUAAGAUAGUGGAUUGCCGGAGCCGGAGACCUCACCGGAGAGUUGGAAUUCCCCAUGUGGAUCCUGCUGUUGGCGAAAAAGCUGGUAAAGUGAAUGAGAGGAUGGUGGCGAACGGACACUGCACAUUCACCGGAUCUGGGCAAGGAAAGGGCACAAAUGAACAACACCUUCUUUUUCUAUUUUUUAAACGCCAAAAAGGUGCAGGUGUGUUAUGAAUCAAACUAGUGACCUCCUGCUUCAACGUAAGCUGCAGUAACCACUUACUUUUUUUCUUCAUAUUUUCUUCUUUCUACUUUUCUUUUUUCUUGUUUCUGGUUCGUUGAGGUUUUUUCCAAUUUUGUGAACUAUUUUUUUCAAAAUCAAUGAACUUUUUUCAAUUUGUAUACUUUUUUUCUGAAAUUGACAAAAAAUUGUAAUCAAUUGGUUUACUUUUUUUUUCCAAAUUUUGUGAUACUUAAGAAAAGUCAACUAGUCAGUCAGUGAACCGAUCAACUGGCACCAGUCAACCAGUGAGAGAUCUGAAGCGUAGGGAACACUCAACCCGGUUGCAUUUUGCUGCGCUGCAGCGAGAUGACAUUUUCAGCCGCAACCCAUGAAUGAAGGUAGUGAGCGCCAGGGAUUCUUUUCGCUGCUUGAAGCGCCGAAUAGGAGCUCCCAUGAGUUAGAUAGCUUUUGGAUGCAAAUUCAGUUUGCAGAUCAACGAGGCCACAAGCUUUCCGGUUGUUUUUUCCUUAAUCCAGUUCCAUCUAUGUAAAACUGCGAACGAUGGAUCAUCCAUCUCGAACGGAUCAACAUGGACAUGGUCAGCUCGAUCGUUACGCCAAAUGAAUACAAAUUAUGCACACACAAUCCGACGCGGCGAGUGAGAGCGACUUUGUUGAGAGGACCAAACUACCAUUAUUUUAUCUCAUUCUUCGUAUGAUAUUAAAACCGGCUAUUAGCUGUUUGUCUCUUGUAGACAUAUUUAAUCAGCUAUGUCAUACAAUACAAAUUAGGUGUUCCAUCACCUUCACAUUCAACUGCGGGUAUUCUGUUCUCGCAGAUGACUGGCUCUUUCAUAAAGAAUGUUUAAGGAAGUCUUAAUGACUGGGAAAGCCCUCCAGAUAGAAUGGUUGAAGUACUCUUGAACUGCACUGUAUGUAUUGCUUCUAGCUUUGGAUGAGCUUAAUCUCAUUUACGAGUAUUAAUCUACUUCAUAUGCAAGUUUGUAUCCAAGCUAGUUGUGUACGUAUAUUAGGAGUCCAAGUGUUUGGCCGAGCUUAGCACUAGUCCGACUAGGAUAAGUAUGAUGGUUGAUCAUGUACACGUGGUUUUUUGAGUUUGGGUUCCAAGGUGUGUCCUAAUGCUAGUAGUAAUAGGAAGUACGAGGUACGAGUAGGAUUAGUUGGUCUAUAGGUUGGCCACAUUGUGUGUGUGUGUGUGUGUGUGUGUGUGUGCGUGUGUGUGUGUGUGUACAUACUAGCAAAAUAGAUUGUGCGUUGCAACGAGAGAGAAAAUAACACACACUCUUAACCUAGUAACCAUGAAUCAAGAUUCUAAUAGGUCCACGCCCUUUAUUUUCAAAUGGAAUCACAUUUUUGUUGCCGACGGUGGUCUCAGUGCUCAGAAAACGAAAUCGCGUUUGAAUGUGGUCAGUCCUAGGCCUCUCUCUCCCUCUCUCUCUCUCUCUCUCUCUCUCUCUCUCUCUCUCUCUCUCACGCGCGGGCACGCGCACUCACUCGGAAUAAUAUGAGAAAUAUGUUGUUUUCAGCGGUGUGCAUGCAUGGUUAUCGAUGUUUUCUUUCCUCUCAAUCUGGUUUUAAUGGGUGUUUAUUUGAAAUUCGAAUCGCCGCCAGUACCAAAGAAAAAGGACCAUGCACAAUAAACUAAGUUUGCACCAAAAAUAAUAUUUAAGAAAUAUUUAACAGCUAAAAAUUACAUAAUGUUUAGAUUCUACACAUUUUUUAAUCAAAUUUCAUAUAUAACAUGUUAAAAUUAGAGUUACGGUUUAAAAAAUAUGAAUAAUUUUGUCUUAGAUAAACUAUGGAUUGAUUAACCGAAAAGUCAGGGGUUUUCUGUUAAAACAAAAAAAAGAUCCAGCUGACUUAAAUAUGGAUGACGGGUUGAUUACCUGAAAUGUCAGGGUUUUAUUGAGAAAUUCAAAAACACGGUUUGGCUAUGACUUAAACGUGUACUGCGGGUUAAUUUACACAAAACACAGGGAUUUUUUUUAAAUGGCAUGACGUUGAGCAGUCACAAGCACUCUGUGCUUUAUUAUUAGGUGUAGAUAUAGACGCGAGGAUAUAUCAAGAUUGUACCGUGAAGAAAAGGAGAAAAGAAUAAAGAAGAGGAAGAAAGAGUACGACAAGGCCCCUUGGAUACAAGGUUUGUGUGUGUUUGUGUGUGCGUGUGCGUGUGUGUGUGUGUAUGUGUGUGUGUGUGUGUGUGUGUGUGUGUGUGUGUGUGUGUGUUCAUCAUGUUAUAGGUGGUGAAACACACUAAUGAGCAAGGUAAAACUCACAUCGAUCAAGGUCAGUGGCAUUUGUUCAAGUUUGUAAGGUGACUGUAGGACGCCUAGUUACGUCUGUGAACAAAAAGAGUCAGUACCGGCAAGGUCAGUGGCCAUAGUAGUAGCAGUUGUAGGAUCAACAUUUAGGAGUAUCAAGGUAGACACGAAGAAUGGAUAACUAUCCCAGUUGCACCUACAAACUGAUCCAGAAUUGUUUCCAAGUUUUUUGCAGCAAGUGGAGUAGCCUUGACAGCGACCAAGGUGGCAUUGACAUAUUAUGGUGUCGGUCAUAGGAGAUCUGGUUAUAGUGGUUGAGAAUAAAAUGUUCCGUUUGCCUUUGAUUAAUUAUGCGUUGUCUGUAAUUUGGUAUUCAUGAAAGUCACUAUCACGAUUAAUUGACCAUGUUCUAGAUCUCUACAUCAAAUUUAUUCCUGUUAACCUCAAUGUUAUAGCUACAUCGAGAUACUUAUUUUUCAUAUGCGAGUAAUUGGUUGAGCUCUCCCAGCAGGACGAAGCAGCAAAGGGAGCAAACUGUAUACCAAACUGUGGAUGAAUGCCACAAUGGGGUAACUCGGAAAGUUUAACUCAUGCUCUAUGUCUUGCCCAAGGACAACAUACUCCGCGUGCAACUUUUUGUGUAUAUACCAGACGAUGCACCAUAAAGUAAUUUUUUUUACAAAUGGUAACAUAUUAGUAUCAAGAUGAUACAAAUUGCCAUUACAAAUAUACAAUAAACCAUUGUAGACCUCAUCGGUGUGAAAAAUUAAUUGGACGAACUAAAGUUUUGCAAUGAGAUGCUGAUGGUAGGCAUAAACAUGGACUUGGAGCUCGACUUGGAGUUGUCGUACUACUAGUAACUUUCUAGAUUGCAUGGAAAACUAUGAAUCCAAACAAGAUAACAGAUACAGUGAUGUAUUAUAUAUGAGCACACAGAGAAGAAAAAUAGAAACUUUAAACAUGGCUUCCAACGGGUUCUUCUGGUGUGUUAAGAGCCUUUAGAAGAUGAAACUGGGCUAGCUAUGGCCCUAGCCGUAAAGAACAUGGAAUUAGUGAUAUUACAACCGUGAAGGCUAACACGAAUAAGUUUCUAAGCGCCCCAACUGUGAUCAACACCACGAUCAAAAGUAUCCGCAACCGAAGAUGUAGUUAAAUCUAUUGAUGAUGCUGUCAAAUACCUCAUCUCGCUGAUUGGGAACCGGAGUCACCAUAUACGCCAACAUGAAAACCAGGUCAGCUAUGCAUAUAGAGAAUCUCACCCAGAUAGACUGAAAAAACCGUUGGUCAAUGACGCUCUCUUUUCUCAGCUGUAUUAUCUCUUUGCGGUGCCUAUUUUAGCGAACUCUUUUUCCAGCUCAAUAAGGUUGUGUUUUCACAAUUUUGCUGCAUGUACACUGUAUACUGUCCCCCGAACACCAAGCCUUCCAAUCCCAAGAACAAAAGGAAAGAGAUAGCAGCCCAAAAAUAGACCAAGUUAUCUUUCCAGCAUUGUCUUUCCUACCAGGAUUCGAAAUCCUUCUUGGCAAGACGAGCUGAAUUAUCUCCCAUAGUCCGAAACUCACAAGAACAUCAAAAAUCCGACGUGAAUGAAUUCAAUAAAGAACAGGUAUAGAUAAAAAAUAAUAAUCAAGUACGCAUAAAAUUGGUAGGUUCUCAGACAAUAUAUUGACAUAUGAGAACGUACAUGACACAUAUCACUGUGGACAUUGUCUAUGGCCUUAUUACAAGCAACAAGAGAAAUUACAUAGGCGUGUGAGUGCGCGUGCGCGCGCACACACACGUGCACACAUGCAUGACAUACAUGGAUUGACUAGAGGUCGCCCCAUAUAGUCAACAAUUUAUUGGAGGUAAACAUUAGCAUAACUUGGCCAUAGAUCGAAGCAAUCCAACAUAUGCCGAUGAAUGGCAUCCAUGUUGGUAGCAAUGCAAGCAUAUCGUUUUAGUACAGUCCUUCCAUCUUCGAAGCCACUCCCAUUUCAUCCAUCUUAGCAACCACUGUGAAAUUAAGAUAUAAAACUCCCAUUAGCUCAUGAGUUAAUUUUGCUAGGGCAGGAGAGUAUAAGAGGUCUUUGUGUAGGAAGUAACAUGCUUGAAGUUGUGAGAUGGGACAUGAAGUCAACGAAGUACAUUAAUGAAAAUCGGUGGAAGGUCACAGAGAUGUAUUAGUCCACCAUACGACACAGAUCUUGUAUUUACAAAUAUCAAAGGCAUUGAUUAAAGUGAGUUUAGUGCAUUUACCAGAAUCUUCAAGAAUACAGGGAAACAACAAGUGUUCUUGCAGGCAAAGUCAGAGCCACCCGCAAAAAUACAAGUAGAACAACAUCCUUUUGCGGCUAAGCUUAUGCAGCAGCCACAGUCUGCGGUGGUCGAGUUUACGGUGAGGCUCAGGAUGAGCAGGCACAUGAUCACCUUCAAAGUGGUAGUGCUAGUGACCAUCCUCUUACCCUCCAUUUUCUCUUGUUGAUGUUGCCUGCCUUGGUUACCUAGAUAAGUUUCUUGGUUUUGUGUUGAGAGGUGCUUCUUAAAUGGAUGUUGCUUGCUGCAAUUUAUAGGCAAUUGCAUUACGUUAUGAUAUGUAUAAGGUGCGAGUGGGUGGAAAAUCAUGUCGUAUUCAAUGUGACAGUAUCGACAAUUGAUGACAUUGGUUGGUAACCCGGACAAAUUCAUUCACACGUAUCUUGCGGAGGAAAUGUUGCAUCACCUACCAUAUUCAAUAUUAGGGAGAAAGCCUGAACUACACCAAUAGUGUGCAACUAGGCACAAAAAGCUACCACAAGUAGUGGAGUUCGUAUGAUAUUAGCAAGCUAUUAACAAUAACCAUGGAGGCAAUUAACACUAGCCCGUCAAAGAUGGUGCUAGCAACUUAUGGUGUUCAAUGCAACACCAGAGCAAAUAUGUAUGGACUUUGGUUAGUAAAAUUUCAACAGGCGCUACAUAUAUAUUUUGCUAUACAAAAUUGAUUGGAAGCAAUAGAGUAGGCUAGUUCCUAGGUAGACCUUUAGCAAUGUUCAUUUUGGCCAUGGUAUCGGAGAUCAGAUUAUAAGUAUGACGUACAUGCAACUUGAUCCCUUGUCCUCAUAUUUUAAUUCCCGCAUUCACAAGUUGCACGUACUAAGCACUCCCAAUUAUUACCCUUUUCAUUAUGCAACUAUUUUUAGAAUUUAUUUAUUUUUAAUAUACAAAUGUCAUUUAACAAACAAUCUAUUUUAUUCAGCUAGCGGAGGUCGGGCAAAACCGUUUUUUAUCCAAGUCUAGAAAACCUUGUAUAUUGUUCGGGCAUACAUUUUGCAUUUCUAAGAUAGAACCCCAAGAUAUUAGGCAUUGUGUCAGUUGUAUCAAACUUAUUUCUAUAUGACAUCAAAAUGUUAGAGAUAUUGAUAUGAUGCAAUGCACCGGGAUUAUCCUUAAAAACGAAAAACAAUUAAAAGGAGGAAAACUUGUGCAAAUAGUCCUUACGUGAUAUGGUCCUCAUCAAAAUUACCAAAUUUGGAAUAUGGUGCUUCGAAAAAAGAGUGUUCUCAAAAAGAGGUAUCAUGCCUGGCUUAUCUUGGCUUUCAACCCAAAUGGCCAAGCGAUGGCCAUAUCCAUGGCAAACAUUGUUUUUCGUUUUCCCAUAUUCGGCACACACAUGCAUCUUGGAACACAAAUCCAACCAACAACCAAUGAUCGUUUCAUUUCUUAGAGGUGCGGGCGAGGACAAUUAAAAACUUGUGAAACAGGUGUACCCGAGGCUUAAUUCACUAUUCGAGUAUACAGAUUGGGUCACUCUGUGUCGAAAUCACAACAAGAAAAUGUUUUGUUGAACAUCCUCUGUUAGAUAAGACUACAAGAUGAUGGUACUUUUGGGUCCUUCACAAAACAAGAAACUAACCAAGAGAUUAGGAUGACUGAUCUGUCCCAUGUAUGUCCUGCAAAUCAGUUGUUGAUAACGUUGCCAUUAUUUAGGAAAAGUCUCCUCACCUGAAUAUAUAUAUGCCACAAACCUUUAUUUAGGAAAAGGCUCCUCACCUCAAUAUAUUUCAAAUGUUUGACAAUUUUACAGGAUCAUGCAUAUGCGCGCUCCUUGGGUGCCCCAGAUUUUAGCCUAUGUAUCCAUAUGUAAGGUAAGAUCAGUGCCAAUGUUUUCGAUGGUGUCAAGGGGAGGAUCAUCUACAACUUAGAACAUCUUGUUCAUGGCACCCCAUAUUAUCCAUACUACAUGUAGAAGAAUUAAGCAUGGGAUAAAUAUAGCCAGAGGGCAUUGCGGUUGAGAAGAGAUCACCAAUUUGGAUGGAGAGUGCGUGCCAUAUCCUUCAAGCAGCAUGACAGGUGAAGAAGAGGUGAUGUCUAUCAUGGGCAGAUGGAGCUGGUGAGGAUUCUUUAUAUUUUGUAGAUUGCAUCUUGUGUUCACUCUGUCCAGGUAGAAGAGCCAGGCGAAGAUCUGUAUUCUCUUUCAAGGUGCGGUCCUAUGGAUCCGAAAGCUGGGGUGAUAGGGCAGCAUAUGCCCCCUCUUGAUGAAAGCUGACCCAUUAAGCAACCCUCGCUCGUCAGGAUCCUACAACAGAGAGUUUAACGAGCCAAGCUCUGGCGAGGCAGUUGAGGUUAGUCGGUUACGCAAGGAAAGUUCGACCUGCAUGAUGGCAUCUUUGGUGGGAUCGGUGAGAGAAAAUGGUAGGGAAAACAUUGGCUAAUGGUUCAGGGUUGAUCCACCUGUCAAGCCAAAACAAACAAUCUCAAACAGUGGCUAAUGGUUCAGGUCUCCCAAAAAGAAUCUUUAGUUUGUUAGAUAAUAUUAUUUGCAUGGUUGUUUCCUAGUGUAUCAUAUAUGGACUCUUGGGCCGAUAGGAUCUUCUUUGUAAACGUAUGUACUUCAAAACAUGAGGAAACCAUAUCUCGUUUAGUCCUAGCCGUAAAAUUAAGAUCUGAUGGUUAUUUAUCAGCACUUGUCAAGGAUUAACGUGGAGGCUCGUAUGGUGCCUCCAAUUAAUAAAUAUAUGAUUUUGAGAUGGGCUUCUUAUAUAUUUCGCUAUAAAAAUUGAUUGGAACAAAUACGUACGCCUAGUUUGCUAGGAUAGGCCUUUAGCAAGGUUUAUCAUCUCCACUGUGUUGAAGAUUAGAUGAUAAGUAUGAACUAAAUGCAACUUGAUCCCAAGUCUUCAUAUUCCAAUCCCCAAAUUUACAACUUGCUCGUACUAUGCACAUCCUAUUAGUAACUUUUUUUGCUAGGAACACUUUUUAUAAUUUAUUUGUUUGUGAAUACACAAAUGUCAUUUUAACAGACUAUCUAUUUUUAUUCAGCUAGCAGAGGUUGGGCACAAUCAAUUUUUAUCCAAGACUAAAAAACCAUGUACAUUUUCGGGGGGCAUACAUCUUGUGUUUCUAAGAGACAACACUAAGAUAUUAUGCAUUGUGCCUCUUGUAUCAAACUUGUUUUUGUAUGUCAUAGAAAUAAUAGAGAUAGUGAUAUGAUUCACUGCACAUGGAUUAUCCUAAAAUAGAGAAACAAUUUAAAAACGGGAAACUUGCACAAAGAGUCCUUUUACGUGAUAUGGUUUCCAUAAAAAAUACCAAAAUUGAAAUAUGACGCUUUGAAAAAAAAGUGUUCUCGGAAAGAGGUAUCAUGUAUGCUUAUCUUGGCUUUCAACCCAAAAUACCAAGGCGAUAGUCAUAUCCAUGGGAAACAUGGUGGUAUUUUGCCCAUAUUCGGCACACAUGUGCAUCUUGGCAUGGCUUUACAAUGACACCUUAUUCACGUUGAUAAGAGCCUGUAUGCAAUAGCUACGACUCUCCUAAAACAUUGUCGACCGAUGAAAUCUCUGGACCAAAAGUUGGGCAGAAAACGCCAGACCAGUGAAUGGGGUGCCAAAACAUGGAAAAGGGCGGGGAAUUGCCAAAAUUCUACCGUUGGUUGUAGCCUCACUGAAACCGACAUGUAAUUUGACCGUCGAAUAUUCAGACAACCUGGAACCCUAGCAUGCUACCAGGGCACCGACAUAAUGCAUGUAUUCUGUGCAUGCGGUACUGGCGCCCCCGCGACCAGAGGAAGGAAUAAACACCUAGACGGUACGCUAGUGCCUAAAUUUGGGCGGGAGAACACCAGAGUGGUGAGUUGGCCACCAAAAGAUGAAAAAGGGCUAGUCUUUGGCAGGUAUAAACAAGGGGGGAGGGGGGCUGGUAUUUCGGGUGCCAGAUCUUGUGAAGGUAAACAAGGAGAGAGACAUAAGAUGGAUACAAGCUGCUCCUCUGCCUUUGUUUGACUUGACUCAGCUGAAACAUAAUGUCGUUUCCAAAGAAACUUCAAUUACUGUUGAGAAGAGACAAAACCAAAUACUGCCAUUACACAAUAUAUAUCCGUCGUAAGAUAUUGAUUAAGCUAACCAAGCUGGACAUUGCCUACAGUACACCUAGAUAACUUAAUUUAUGCUAGCGACCGUGACGGCGAUCACCAAUUGAUUGUAUUUAGUGACUAAUAACCUGCCAUUGGUAUAUUUCAAAUUUUAUAUAUCAUUUGAUCCUCACCAUCGUCGGACAUGAUCGAGUCACAUAGAUAGGUACAAGUAGCUGUUCUGAGAAUAAGAAGAAAAAAUCGAUGCACUGACAAUCUCCAAUGUGUGUCCAUCUCAACCAUUUUAAAUUAAUUAGUACAAGUCCAAAUUAUCUGCUCUCCGGUAGAAACUAAAUUAGUCACGUUUGUUACGCUAGAGUUUGGUGCCAACGAACAAACCUAGCAAAUCAAUUGCACGUGGUCUCCUUAAACUACAAACAACGACAAUGAUGGAGGAGCCACUAAAUAGAAGGCCGGGCAGCGAUAGAAUGUACUUACUCAAUGGUUGCUAAUUUUUGUUGGUAAAUUGCGAGCGUUCUCCAGGGACGAACUCAAGAAGCAGUUUUUCUUGAUGAACGGACAAUAAGCUCCACCAUGCAAAAAUAUAAGGUUUCAGUUUGAGGAUCCAACAAUAGUUCAUCAUGGAGCCUGAUGCACCAAGGUCAUAAUGCUGGUCUGGUGUGCAAAAUCCAAAGUAUGCAUCAGUUCUGCUCUCACACAUUGCGGAUCGUUCGAAUAUGCCAUCCAGAUCUUGUCUGUCCUGGAUAUACUUUUUGCUCGGAAUUAUAAAACUGUUCCUUUAUAAACUACUUACAGAAGCAUGAUUGUGGCUGUUGAACAUUUACUUUCCUUGAGUCGAAAAGACGCGCUAAUUUAGGGAAGCAGCAUGUGGGCACUGGAUAUCAUGUGCAUGCAUGUUCUUAACCCCCAAGCCACAUAGAUUAUUUGGCCCCAGAGCAAACCGCUUGGUUUGACCAGAAAAAAGACCUUCUACCCUUAUCCAUAGCAUAUGAAUGGAGAAGCAGAGCAUGAGCAGUGGGCAAACUAUCUAUCCUCUGAGAUGGACCAAGGAUAGAUAGUCGUUAGUGGCUCUAUAAAGAGGCCGGAUUCUGUCACACACAUAAGGGCUAAUUUUGCAGCAAGGUAAACGAAACCAGGGUAGCAAACCUUCGGGAGAUUAUACGCUAUUACUCACCUUCGGGAGAUUAUACGUUUCAAUCACUAUAUAUAUGACGUGCAAAAUGCAGCACACAUCCAUCACCAUCAGUUGAACCCGUGUCACACAAACUCCAAAGUCCAUACUUCUCUAGGUGUCAUCUCACUAUGCUGGAUACCUCUCCAAGUCUAUAUGUGAUGGACGGACGGACCAAGGCUCACUGGGCUUAAACACCUCCGGAAUGACAACCUCUACUACAACUCAACUCUGGAUUUUCGUACCUGUGCGUUUCACCAAACCAGUUGAUUAUCACCCCACUCUGCUCUUCUCUUCUCCAUGUAGAGUAGACCAGAGUAGGGACAACGAACACAUCAAUUACCAUCACAUACUAAAGUAUAUUCUAACAGCUGCUACAACUGAAUCAAUUAAUCAUGCCAAACACCCGUGCAUACCCACUCACUGCCAUUAUGUCCCGAAAUUGUCCAGCCUAGAACACACAAAUAAAAUAGAAUAGUCUCUAGUCUCCAUGCACUUUCACUGUUUGAUUGAUCACAAAAACUUACCUCAACAGUAAGAAAAUACACAAAUUUUGUUUUUCUCUGAUAUAUGAGAUCACAGAUUUUAGCCUUUUGGUGGUUCUAUUGACAUCAAUUGCAUGUACUAUAUUCACGGAUGCAAUUUUCUAACAAACCUUGCUAGCUAAUCUCCCUCGCACCUGCUCACAUCAAGAUUUAAACUGGAUGAGAUAAUGUAUAUGACUAUGUCUGACAUCAAGUUUAAGCGUUUAUGGUUCACGUUUUACAUCAAGUAUAUCGUAGUGUAGAGUAGCAAACUUAAUUCUCGAAAUCACCCAUACCAACGAAUGAAUGAAGAACCAAAGAGAUAAUUACAUCAGAGCUAGUCACUCCAUAGGCAAUAUCAGCAUAUUGUUAAUUGUUAAUGUGUAUAUCGAUCAAGUUUGUUUCUUUUCAAGUAAUCUAACACAUUCACCAAGGGAUUAAAUUGUAACUGAAUAGUACCAUUAGAAGUACAAAUAAGUUAACUAUUUGACAUUUGAUUUUCCACUAUUACUAAUUUUAUUUUUUAUUUUUUAUAUUCAAAUCUUCCGAGGUUUGUGUACAUUUUGUGUUGUUUAAGCCUGUCGGUCGACUGUAGAGUAGCCGCGCACCUCAUUCUUAUCCAUCUAAUCACAUGCACUAUGGUCUUCGCGUGGCAUUAAUUAAUUCCAUUGAUCAGUGAUAUAUUAUGUAGCUUGCUAGUUAAUAAUUAAUUAAUUAGCAGUUGAUGCAACUGCUCCAUUAUUAACAAUAAAAAGGCAUCCUCGUUUAGCUCGCAGGUCUUGUAUGAAUGCAUAAUCAUUUGCAUAAUAAUUAGGUAAGGCCGCUAGUUGGUGAGAAAUGCAUUGUACUUUCCUUGAGAUUAUCUGUCGACACCAAGCUGGUCAAUGGCGUGCAAUUUGAGAGCACUACCCUAUUCUCUGGGUUGUUAUAAAAAAAUUAAGGCAAAGGGACUCUGUACCCGUUGUAUCGAAUUGACAUGUACCUAGGAUAAAACUAAAUUAAUUGAUUCAUAAUCUAGUACAACAAAGGUGAAAUAAUUUAAAAAUCACUCCCUAAAAAAAGUAUAAGAAUGUGGCAAUCGCUCCCUAAAAACGGAAUGUAACAAUCACUCGUGGAAGGGGAAACGGCAAGACACCGCAAUGUCACUCGAACACUUUGACGUGUAGUACUGGGUAUGGGGAGAUUAUGUUGGGAUAAGAUAGUGGAUUGCCGGAGCCGGAGACCUCACCGGAGAGUUGGAAUUCCCCAUGUGGAUUCUGCUGUUGGCGAAAAAGCUGGUAAAGUGAAUGAGAGGACGGUGGCGAACGGACACUGCACAUUCACCGGAUCUGGGCAAGGAAAGGGCACAAAUGAACAACACCUUCUUUUUCUGUUUUUUAAACGCCAAAAAGGUGCAGGUGUGUUAUGAAUCAAACUAGUGACCUCCUGCUUCAACGUAAGCUGCAGUAACCACUUACUUUUUUUCUUCAUAUUUUCUUCUUUCUACUUUUCUUUUUUCUUGUUUCUGGUUCGUUGAGGUUUUUUCCAAUUUUGUGAACUAUUUUUUUCAAAAUCAAUGAACUUUUUUCAAUUUGUAUACUUUUUUUUUUCUGAAAUUGACAAAAAAUUGUAAUCAAUUGGUUUACUUUUUUUUCCAAAUUUUGUGAUACUUAAGAAAAGUCAACUAGUCAGUCAGUGAACCGAUCAACUGGCACCAGUCAACCAGUGAGAGAUCUGAAGCGUAGGGAACACUCAACCCGGUUGCAUUUUGCUGCGCUGCAGCGAGAUGACAUUUUCAGCCGCAACCCAUGAAUGAAGGUAGUGAGCGCCAGGGAUUCUUUUCGCUGCUUGAAGCGCCGAAUAGGAGCUCCCAUGAGUUAGAUAGCUUUUGGGUGCAAAUUCAGUUUGCAGAUCAACGAGGCCACAAGCUUUCCGGUUGUUUUUUCCUUAAUCCAGUUCCAUCUAUGUAAAACUGCGAACGACGGAUCAUCCAUCUUGAACGGAUCAACAUGCACAUGGUCAGCUCGAUCGUUACGCCAAAUGAAUACAAAUUAUGCACACACAAUCCGACGCGGCGAGUGAGAGCGACUUUGUUGAGAGGACCAAACUACCAUUAUUUUAUCUCAUUCUUCGUAUGAUAUUAAAACCGGCUAUUAGCUGUUUGUCUCUUGUAGACAUAUUUAAUCAGCUAUGUCAUACAAUACAAAUUAGGUGUUCCAUCACCUUCACAUUCAACUGCGGGUAUUCUGUUCUCGCAGAUGACUGGCUCUUUCAUAAAGAAUGUUUAAGGAAGUCUUAAUGACUGGGAAAGCCCUCCAGAUAGAAUGGUUGAAGUACUCUUGAACUGCACUGUAUGUAUUGCUUCUAGCUUUGGAUGAGCUUAAUAUCAUUUACGAGUAUUAAUCUAGUUCAUAUGGAAGUUUGUAUCCAAGCUAGUUGUGUACGUAUAUUAGGAGUCCAAGUGUUUGGCCGAGCUUAGCACUAGUCCGACUAGGAUAAGUAUGAUGGUUGAUCAUGUACACGUGGUUUUUUGAGUUUGGGUUCCAAGGUGUGUCCUAAUGCUAGUAGUAAUAGGAAGUACGAGGUACGAGUAGGAUUAGUUGGUCUAUAGGUUGGCCACAUUGUGUGUGUGUGUGUGUGUACAUACUAGCAAAAUAGAUUGUGCGUUGCAACGAGAGAGAAAAUAACACACACUCUUAACCUAGUAACCAUGAAUCAAGAUUCUAAUAGGUCCACGCCCUUUAUUUUCAAAUGGAAUCACAUUUUUGUUGCCGACGGUGGUCUCAGUGCUCAGAAAACGAAAUCGCGUUUGAAUGUGGUCAGUCCUAGGCCUCUCUCUCUCUCUCUCUCUCUCUCUCUCUCUCUCUCUCUCUCUCUCUCUCUCUCUCUCUCUCUCUCUCUCACGCGCGGGCACGCGCACUCACUCGGAAUAAUAUGAGAAAUAUGUUGUUUUCAGCGGUGUGCAUGCAUGGUUAUCGAUGUUUUCUUUCCUCUCAAUCUGGUUUUAAUGGGUGUUUAUUUGAAAUUCGAAUCGCCGCCAGUACCAAAGAAAAAGGACCAUGCACAAUAAACUAAGUUUGCACCAAAAAUAAUAUUUAAGAAAUAUUUAACAGCUAAAAAUAACAUAAUGUUUAGAUUCUACACAUUUUUUAAUCAAAUUUCAUAUAUAACAUGUUAAAAUUAGAGUUACGGUUUAAAAAUAUGAAUAAUUUUGUCUUAGAUAAACUAUGGAUUGAUUAACCGAAAAGUCAGGGGUUUUCUGUUAAAACAACAAAAAGAUCCAGCUGACUUAAAUAUGGAUGACGGGUUGAUUACCUGAAAUGUCAGGGUUUUAUUGAGAAAUUCAAAAACACGGUUUGGCUAUGACUUAAACGUGUACUGCGGGUUAAUUUACACAAAACACAGGGAUUUUUUUUAAAUGGCAUGACGUUGAGCAGUCACAAGCACUCUGUGCUUUAUUAUUAGGUGUAGAUAUAGACGCGAGGAUAUAUCAAGAUUGUACCGUGAAGAAAAGGAGAAAAGAAUAAAGAAGAGGAAGAAAGAGUACGACAAGGCCCCUUGGAUACAAGGUUUGUGUGUGUUUGUGUGUGCGUGUGUGUGUGCGCGCGCGCGCGCGCGCGCGCGCGCGUGUGUGUGUGUGUGUGUGUGUGUGUGUGUUCAUCAUGUUAUAGGUGGUGAAACACACUAAUGAGCAAGGUAAAACUCACAUCGAUCAAGGUCAGUGGCAUUUGUUCAAGUUUGUAAGGUGACUGUAGGACGCCUAGUUACGUCUGUGAACAAAAAGAGUCAGUACCGGCAAGGUCAGUGGCCAUAGUAGUAGCAGUUGUAGGAUCAACAUUUAGGAGUAUCAAGGUAGACACGAAGAAUGGAUAACUAUCCCAGUUGCACCUACAAACUGAUCCAGAAUUGUUUCCAAGUUUUUUGCAGCAAGUGGAGUAGCCUUGACAGCGACCAAGGUGGCAUUGACAUAUUAUGGUGUCGGUCAUAGGAGAUCUGGUUAUAGUGGUUGAGAAUAAAAUGUUCCGUUUGCCUUUGAUUAAUUAUGCGUUGUCUGUAAUUUGGUAUUCAUGAAAGUCACUAUCACGAUUAAUUGACCAUGUUCUAGAUCUCUACAUCAAAUUUAUUCCUGUUAUCCUCAAUGUUAUAGCUACAUCGAGAUACUUAUUUUUCAUAUGCGAGUAAUUGGUUGAGCUCUCCCAGCAGGACGAAGCAGCAAAGGGAGCAAAAUGUAUACCAAACUGUGGAUGAAUGCCACAAUGGGGUAACUCGGAAAGUUUAACUCAUGCUCUAUGUCUUGCCCAAGGACAACAUACUCCGCGUGCAACUUUUUGUGUAUAUACCAGACGAUGCGCCAUAAACUAAUUUUUGUUACAAAUGGUAACAUAUUAGUAUCAAGAUGACACAAAUUUCCAUUACAAAUAUACAAUAAACCAUUGUAGACCUCAUCGGUGUGAAAAAUUAAUUGGACGAACUAAAGUUUUGCAAUGAGAUGCUGAUGGUAGGCAUCAACAUGGACUUGGAGCUCGACUUGGAGUUGUCGUACUACUAGUAACUUUCUAGAUCGCAUGGAAAACUAUGAAUCCAAACAAGAUAACAGAUACAAUGAUGUAUUAUAUAUGAGCACAGAGAGAGAAAAAAAUAGAAACUUUAAACAUGGCUUCCAACGGGUUCUUCUGGUGUGUUAAGAGCCUUUAGAAGAUGAAACUGGGCUAGCUAUGGCCCUAGCCAUAAAGAACAUGGAAUUAGUGAUAUUACAACCGUGAAGGCUAACACGAAUAAGUUUCUAAGCGCCCCAACUGUGAUCAACACCACGAUCAAAAGUAUCCGCAACCGAAGAUGUAGUUAAAUCUAUCGAUGAUGCUGUCAAAUACCUCAUCUCGCUGAUUGGGAACCGGAGUCACCAUAUACGCCAACAUGAAAACCAGGUCAGCUAUGCAUAUAGAGAAUCUCACCCAGAUAGACUGAAAAAACCGUUGGUCAAUGAGGCUCUCUUUUCUCAGCUGUAUUAUCUCUUUGCGGUGCCUAUUUUAGCGAACUCUUUUUCCAGCUCAAUAAGGUUGUGUUUUCACAACUUUGCUGCAUGUACACCGUAUAUUGUCCCCCGAACACCAAGCCUUCCAAUCCCAAGAACAAAAGGAAAGAGAUAGCAGCCCAAAAAUAGACCAAGUUAUCUUUCCAGCAUUGUCUUUCCUACCAGGAUUCGAAAUCCUUCUUGGCAAGACGAGCUGAAUUAUCUCCCAUAGUCCGAAACUCACAAGAACAUCAAAAAUCCGACGUGAAUGAAUUCAAUAAAGAACAGGUAUAGAUAAAAAAUAAUAAUCAAGUACGAAUAAAAUUGGUAGGGUCUCAGACAAUAUAUUGACAUAUGAGAACGUACAUGACACAUAUCACUGUGGACAUUGUCUAUGGCCUUAUUACAAGCAACAAGAGAAAUUACAUAGGCGUGUGAGUGCGCGUGCGCGCGCACACACACGUGCACACAUGCAUGACAUACAUGGAUUGACUAGAGGUCGCCCCAUAUAGUCAACAAUUUAUUGGAGGUAAACAUUAGCAUAACUUGGCCAUAGAUCGAAGCAAUCCAACAUAUGCCGAUGAAUGGCAUCCAUGUUGGUAGCAAUGCAAGCAUAUCGUUUUAGUACA
This 33696-nucleotide long non-coding RNA is filed under the name Triticum aestivum (bread wheat). Its description in RNAcentral is "long non-coding RNA (TAES_LNC015580)". The record is from RNAcentral. Lineage: Eukaryota; Viridiplantae; Streptophyta; Magnoliopsida; Poales; Poaceae.